UACUUAAAAUGGGUGUAGUAUGUUACAUGUAAAUUACAUCAUAAGACCUGAUUUUUCAUUUUAUUUUAUUUUAGUUUUGGAGACUGAGUCUCACUCUGUUGCCCAGGCUGCAGUGCAGUGGCGUGAUCUCAGCUCACUGCAAUCUCCGCCUCCCAGGCUCAAGCCAUUCUUGUGUCUCAGCCUCCUGAGUAGCUGGGACUACAGGCGUGCACCACCAUGCCCGGCUAAUUUUUUGUAUUUUAGUAGAGACGGGGUUUCACCAUGUUGCCCAGGGUGGUCUUGAACUCCUGAGCUCAGGCAAUCCACCCGCCUCAGCCUCCCAAAGUGCUGGGAUUACAGGCAUGAGCCACUAUGCCCAGCCAAGACCUGAUUUUUCAAAAACUGUCAUGAACAUUGUCAAGAAGAAAUACAGGAUGCACUGGGAGAUGAACUAGAUCUUCAAGAGAAAGAGAAUGUUAAAUGGAAUGAUGAAGGAGAGGAACAGCUAAAUGAAUACUUUGAAUCAGUAUUUAUUGAAGAAGACAAUGGGGAAAUUCUUGUUCCAAGGACACAUUUUAUGGCAAAGCAGAGAACGGCCUUGACAGAGAUUCUUCAGUCUCUCAGGAGAAAGGAUGCAGAUGAUGCAGAUGACAUGAAUGUUUUUCCUUCGCCUCAAACAGGGAGUCAAGUCGGAGAAGCAAGCAUGAAAACAGAAACUAACCUUAAGCCAAAGCACAGGCCCUUAGCAAUAUUACUAUAUGCCCACCAGUCACCUGCCUGUGGAAAUGAAAUCAUAACCAUUCCCCUUUGCCCCGCUUCCUCUGUCACCCAUCACAGACUGUGAGUACUGUCACAGGGGUAUGAAACAGCAAAUAAUGACGCUGAUACUUUUCUUACUGCCUCUUAAAGACAACCACUAUUCAUGGAACAACAGUUUGUAAGCUCAAAGUAAUGAUGGACAAAUUGAUUAAGAGAUGCUUAAUCUAAGGAUUAGCAUUCAGCCAAAUGCUGCUUAACAUAGCCAACAAGGAUUCAAAAGCGGAAACAGCUGUGUUGUUCAGGAAUUUGUUUGUAAUAAAAGAGUAAUUUUUUGCCAGUAAAAUUCGGCAUUAGUAAAUCCUUUAGCAUCAUCUCUUUCUUGUUGGAAUUCCCAAGCUGGAAACUUCCUGCGAUCAAUAUUCUAAAGACAUGGUUCCUGGGUCUGAGAGGGAGGCAACAGCACUAUAGACAUCAGAGAAUUCUGGGCUCCAUCCCUUCCUAACAAAGAAGCUGUCUGAAUUCUCUUAGCCUUGGACAUUCUAUCCACAAAAUAGGGCUGAUAAGCAAUACCUUACAGGGGUUGUUGUGAACAAUAAAUAAGCAAUCAUACAUAAAGUUUCUAGCACUCUACGUAGGAGCUAAGAGGUUUUCAAUCAAUGUUUGUUCCUUGCCCUCCUUCCCUCAUCUUCUAGGACUUCCAAUAUACUGUUUUAAACCUACAUUUUUGGCAAGAAGAGCAAAACUCCGUCUCAAAAAAAAAAAAAAAAAAGCUACAUUUGUUAGCCACUAAAUUGUUUAAGGUAAAUAAAUGAAGCAUUUGCUUUUUUUCAGAAAAGGAAUUUUUUUUCUUUCGUUGUGUUUCACAUCAUAUAAG
This 1612-nucleotide long non-coding RNA is filed under the name Homo sapiens (human). RNAcentral's name for it is "HSALNT0008090". The record is from RNAcentral. Lineage: Eukaryota; Metazoa; Chordata; Mammalia; Primates; Hominidae.